CGAAAGCCUGACGGAGCAAGACCGCGUGGGGGAAGAAGGCUCUUGGGUUGUAAACCCCUUUUCUCUGGGAAGAAAGUUGUGAAAGCAACCUGACGGUACCAGAGGAAUCAGCAUCGGCUAACUCCGUGCCAGCAGCCGCGGUAAGACGGAGGAUGCAAGCGUUAUCCGGAAUGAUUGGGCGUAAAGCGUCCGCAGGUGGCAGUUCAAGUCUGCUGUCAAAGACCGGGGUUUAACUUCGGAAAGGCAGUGGAAACUGAACAGCUAGAGUAUGGUAGGGGCAGAGGGAAUUCCUGGUGUAGCGGUGAAAUGCGUAGAGAUCAGGAAGAACAUCGGUGGCGAAGGCGCUCUGCUGGACCAUAACUGACACUCAGGGACGAAAGCUAGGGGAGCG
This 391-nucleotide ribosomal RNA is filed under the name uncultured soil crust cyanobacterium. RNAcentral describes it as "bacterial SSU rRNA". It matches the Rfam family "Bacterial small subunit ribosomal RNA", at positions 376 to 770 of the family's 1533-position model. The record is from RNAcentral. Lineage: Bacteria; Bacillati; Cyanobacteriota.